CCUUGUCGGGUAAGUUCCGACCCGCACGAAUGGCGUAACGAUGGCCACACUGUCUCCUCCCGAGACUCAGCGAAGUUGAAAUGGUUGUGAAGAUGCAAUCUCCCCGCUGCUAGACGGAAAGACCCCGUGAACCUUUACUGUAGCUUUGCAUUGGACUUUGAAGUCACUUGUGUAGGAUAGGUGGGAGGCUUAGAAGCAGAAACGCCAGUUUCUGUGGAGCCGUCCUUGAAAUACCACCCUGGUGGCUUUGAGGUUCUAACCCAGACCCGUAAUCCGGGUCGGGGACCGUGCAUGGUAGGCAGUUUGACUGGGGCGGUCUCCUCCCAAAGAGUAACGGAGGAGUUCGAAGGUUACCUAGGUCCGGUCGGAAAUCGGACUGAUAGUGCAAUGGCAAAAGGUAGCUUAACUGCGAGACCGACAAGUCGAGCAGGUGCGAAAGCAGGACAUAGUGAUCCGGUGGUUCUGAAUGGAAGGGCCAUCGCUCAACGGAUAAAAGGUACUCCGGGGAUAACAGGCUGAUUCCGCCCAAGAGUCCAUAUCGACGGNNNNNNNNNNNNNNNNNNNNNUUUGGCACCUCGAUGUCGGCUCAUCACAUCCUGGGGCUGUAGUCGGUCCCAAGGGUAUGGCUGUUCGCCAUUUAAAGUGGUACGUGAGCUGGGUUUAAAACGUCGUGAGACAGUUUGGUCCCUAUCUGCAGUGGGCGUUGGAAGUUUGACGGGGGCUGCUCCUAGUACGAGAGGACCGGAGUGGACGAACCUCUGGUGUACCGGUUGUGACGCCAGUCGCAUCGCCGGGUAGCUAAGUUCGGAAGAGAUAAGCGCUGAAAGCAUCUAAGCGCGAAACUCGCCUGAAGAUGAGACUUCCCUGGGGAUUUAAUCCUCCUAAAGAGCCGUUCGAGACCAGGACGUUGAUAGGCAGGGUGUGGAAG
This 928-nucleotide non-coding RNA is filed under the name Terrabacter sp. 28. Its description in RNAcentral is "partial 23S ribosomal RNA". It matches the Rfam family "Bacterial large subunit ribosomal RNA", at positions 1967 to 2873 of the family's 2925-position model. The record is from RNAcentral. Lineage: Bacteria; Bacillati; Actinomycetota; Actinomycetes; Micrococcales; Intrasporangiaceae.